CGGAGGGUGCGAGCGUUAUCCGGAAUUACUGGGUUUAAAGGGUGCGUAGGCGGCUAUGUAAGUCAGGAGUGAAAGUUUGCGGCUCAACCGUAAAAUUGCUUUUGAUACUGCAUGGCUGGAAUUAGGAUGAGGUCAGCGGAAUGUGGCAUGUAGCGGUGAAAUGCAUAGAUAUGCCAUAGAACACCAAUUGCGAAGGCAGCUGGCUAGACCUGGAUUGACGCUGAGGCACGAAAGCGUGGGGAGCGAACAGGAUUAGAUACCCUGGUAGUCCACGCCCUAAACGAUGCUUACUCGACGUAUGGCCCUUGAGGUUGUGCGUCCAAGGGAAACCGUUAAGUAAGCCACCUGGGGAGUACGACCGCAAGGUUG
This 369-nucleotide ribosomal RNA is filed under the name uncultured organism. Its description in RNAcentral is "bacterial SSU rRNA". It matches the Rfam family "Bacterial small subunit ribosomal RNA", at positions 526 to 896 of the family's 1533-position model. The record is from RNAcentral.